ACGUGCAAAGUUGUUGGCAGCAUCUUCUUUACCGCUGAUGAGCUGCUCUGGGUGGAAAAGCUGGCGGUAAGCACCAGUUCUCACCUCAUCAAUCACAGUGGGCUCGAGAUCAACAAAAAUAGCACGGGGUACAUGCUUGCCAGCUCCAGUUUCGCUGAAGAAGGUGUUGAAUGCAUCAUCACCUCCACCAAUAGUCUUGUCACUGGGCAUUUGGCCAUCAGGCUGGAUCCCGUGCUCGA
This 239-nucleotide unclassified non-coding RNA is filed under the name Hevea brasiliensis (rubber tree). The record is from RNAcentral. Lineage: Eukaryota; Viridiplantae; Streptophyta; Magnoliopsida; Malpighiales; Euphorbiaceae.